CUUAACUGUCACUCCUCGCAAUUUGAUUCGUGAAGCCCACACAUCACCGCGCUGUCUUCGCUGCCUUUGGAAGCUGGAGCUCCAGUCGCUCGCACGCUCCCUUUUUCCCUUUAUGACAUCAAGGAGCAAAGGAGCUUUUGUUCCUUUCACAACCGGCAGCUUGCAAAUAAGCAAUCUACUAAGGGACAGUGGCCUGGGUAGAGGCUGUCAGCAAAUGGUCAAAGAAUACUGGAACUGGAAUCUUUCUUCUCUCAUGGAGGACCAAGGCAUUGCCUCUCACACUCCUUCAUCUCUGAGUUUUUAAUUUACCAGCCGCUGGAAAACUUGUCUGACUCACUGUUGAAGACAUCACUUCCGGUUCUGUUGAGUAAGAAGACGUCACUUCCCGCUCCAGAGCCUAGGCUGAUGUCAGUUCCGGCACCUACAACAACAUCAGAAACCAAAUGCAGGAUAUUCCACCUGGGCCCUAUGACAUCACUUCCGGUUCCACCCCAAAAGGCGUUACUUCCGGUUCCAACCCUAGAUGACAUCAUUUCCCUCCUUCCGAAUUUAAAACCACCUUGUCUGUACCAUAACCUCAGAUCUGUUUUGGACUCUUGUCUGUGAAGACCUUUUCUCAACAAAUCUUCAAAUUUUCAGCCACUUUCCACUUAUACAGGAGGCUGACCCAAUGCAUUUUUAUGUGUCAAGGCUUGAUUAUUACCACAUAUUAUUAUUAUUAUUAUGUCAAAAAACAAUAAUCCCAGAUUUUGUUUAGGCAGUGUCAAAUAAUCAGACUUACAAAAACCUGAAAUGAAAACUGAAAGUGACCUGAAGGAUUACUGACUGAUCAAUAUUCAGACUUUAGAAUGAUGCUGAAGUCAAAUGUCAAGGUCUCCAUGUUUGACUCCUGCAGCCCAGCAGUCUUGACACUGUGGUUUUUAGUUCAUUGGUGUUUUGGGGCAGCCUAAGAAAUGCACAUUUGAUUAAACCCUGAUUUUAUAUAUCACUUUUCACACAGACAGUAUCACAAGGCACUUUACAAAGCACCCAGGGACACAACCCAAAGUAGCGUGCUGGCAAACUGACUGAAGGACAGGAGCAGCAAGCAAUGCUAAAAGCUGAGGACUGUUGAUACUGAAGUCUUUUACCUGAAUGGUACGGCAUACCACAUAUAUUAUUAAAAUUAGGCAAAAAAAGAAGUUUAAAGCUCACAGUGUGUGUUUAAGAAUUGUAGUAGCAGAGGGGCAGAUGGCACAGUGACUGCAGAAGAAGGAGAUUCUUCUUCACUGAGCUCUGGACUUUCUCUUCCCUGCUAUAAAUUUAGGUUUUGAGCACAGAUCCAUUAGGCCAAAAUCAAACUCUGCCUAAUGUCUUUUUGUUCAUUAAGUCAACUUAAAAAAAAUUGAUGGAUUUAUUGAAGUCAAAGUGUAUAAAUGAGCUAAGCCCAGCUCUGCUUGCCAGGAUGUACAUCUGCACUGUUUCAAGAGGAUGAGCAAAUCCACUUCAGCUCUGCAUUUGCAGGGCUCUGCUUUAUAUCCCUCAAAGACGAGCAAGCAGACGGUUCUCUUUAUUUCUUCAAAUUGUCAUUUUUUUAAAGGUUCUUUUUUACUCAACUAACCUUCCUUUACUUGUACUGCGCUUAAAAAAAGACUAGACUUUGCUCUCAGACCAUUGGGUAUAAUUAACACAAUUCAUCAGUGGAUCUGUUGUGUUUACAGGCUCAUCCACGACUACCAGACUUCCGUUAAAAACUAUGAAGCUAUUAAAAAUGAGACCUUCAGGGCCUUACCUUUGGGUUAUUUUCAUCAUCA
Molecule: long non-coding RNA, 1793 nt
Organism: Polypterus senegalus (gray bichir)
Lineage: Eukaryota; Metazoa; Chordata; Cladistia; Polypteriformes; Polypteridae
Exons: 4
Source: RefSeq, a predicted model, not a curated record